RNAcentral lists this ribosomal RNA (379 nucleotides) under uncultured bacterium. RNAcentral describes it as "bacterial SSU rRNA". It matches the Rfam family "Bacterial small subunit ribosomal RNA", at positions 524 to 898 of the family's 1533-position model. The record is from RNAcentral.
UACGUAGGGGGCGAGCGUUGUCCGGAAUCAUUGGGCGUAAAGAGCUCGUAGGCGGUUCAGUAAGUCGGCUGUGAAAUUCCGAGGCUCAACCUCGGAACUGCAGUCGAUACUAUUGUGACUAGAGUCCGGUAGAGGAGAAUGGAAUUCCCGGUGUAGCGGUGAAAUGCGCAGAUAUCGGGAGGAACACCAGUAGCGAAGGCGGUUCUCUGGGCCGGUACUGACGCUGAGGAGCGAAAGCGUGGGGAGCAAACAGGAUUAGAUACCCUGGUAGUCCACGCUGUAAACGUUGGACACUAGGUGUGGCGGUCUGAUCAACGACUGCCGUGCCGAAGCUAACGCAUUAAGUGUCCCGCCUGGGGAGUACGGCCGCAAGGCUAAA